Molecule: ribosomal RNA, 253 nt
Filed under: uncultured bacterium
Lineage: Bacteria
Description: partial 16S ribosomal RNA
Rfam family: Bacterial small subunit ribosomal RNA
Source: RNAcentral
UACAGAGGCCCCAAGCGUUACUGAGAAUCACUGGGUUUAAAGGGUGCGUAGGUGGUCCGUUAAGUCUGUUGUGAAAGCCCUUGGCUCAACCAAGGAAUUGCUUCGGAUACUGGCGGACUUGAGGCUAGUAGAGGUCACUGGAACUGACGGUGGAGCGGUGAAAUGCGUAGAUAUCGUCAGGAACGCCGGUGGUGAAGACGGGUGACUGGGCUAGUUCUGACACUGAGGCGCAAAAGCGUGGGGAGCGAACGGG